RNAcentral lists this ribosomal RNA (460 nucleotides) under uncultured bacterium. RNAcentral describes it as "partial 16S ribosomal RNA". It matches the Rfam family "Bacterial small subunit ribosomal RNA", at positions 338 to 795 of the family's 1533-position model. The record is from RNAcentral.
CCUACGGGAGGCAGCAGUGAGGAAUAUUGGGCAAUGGACGAGAGUCUGAACCAGCCAAGUAGCGUGAAGGAUGACUGCCCUAUGGGUUGUAAACUUCUUUUAUAUGGGAAUAAAAUGUUCCACGUGUGGGAUUUUGUAUGUACCAUAUGAAUAAGGAUCGGCUAACUCCGUGCCAGCAGCCGCGGUAAUACGGAGGAUCCGAGCGUUAUCCGGAUUUAUUGGGUUUAACGGGAGCGUAGGUGGAUUGGUAAGUCAGUUGUGAAAGUUUGCGGCUCAACCGUAAAAUUGCAGUUGAAACUGGCAGUCUUGAGUACAGUAGAGGUGGGCGGAAUUCGUGGUGUAGCGGUGAAAUGCUUAGAUAUCACGAAGAACUCCGAUUGCGAAGGCAGUUCACUGGACUGCAACUGACACUGAGGCUCGAAAGUGUGGGUAUCAAACAGGAUUAGAUACCCUAGUAGUC